UCACUCCGCCCCCGCCGCGCCUCACAACAUCUCCCGCUGCAAACGGCCCAAUCGUGAGGCGCCCAGGGAGAGCUCGAGCCAAUCAGGGACCAGUGACUCACGCUUUGCCCCGCCCCCAGGAGGAGCGCCGCCCCUCGGCCUCCCCUUCCCACCGCCGCCCGGGUCUCUGGGGAGGUGGUUCACUAGCGCUGAUCCUCGCUUGUCUGGCAGGAGGAGAGCGACGGGCGCUCGCUGCUGGGCGACGUUGGUCACCUUGUCACCCUCCUCCUCUCCCCCUCUGUACGCGGCCCCUCCUCCCUUUCUCAGUCUUCCUGCUGAUGCUGUUGAGGGUCUUUUUUUUUUCAUCCUCACUUCAUCAGGGAACUGUUAGCUAUUGUGUCUGAUCGGCUGUCACCACCAUCCUGAGAGGAAAGAGAAGCAAACCUAGAAGCGUGCUACGUGAGAUUUGACUUCGAGGAAGUAGUAGAGGCUCUAACAGAUCUGAGUGGUUUCGGUUUGCAUGGAAUUCAGAAUUUUGAUGUGCCUCACAACUCAGUAUAGUUAAAGGCAUUCUAUCAUGGGACAUCCCAACCACACCUCUAAUGUGGCAGCCAGAUUUGCCCAUAGCCAUGGGCAGUGUGAAGCAGGUUUGCUGGAUCCCUGCAUGGAGACCUGAUGGAGC
Long non-coding RNA from Jaculus jaculus (lesser Egyptian jerboa), 661 nucleotides. RefSeq lists it as uncharacterized. The record is from RefSeq and is a predicted model, not a curated record. The transcript is spliced from 3 exons. NCBI's taxonomy places the organism in Eukaryota, Metazoa, Chordata, Mammalia, Rodentia, Dipodidae.